This is a long non-coding RNA of Dendroctonus ponderosae (mountain pine beetle), 2603 nucleotides long. RefSeq lists it as uncharacterized. The record is from RefSeq and is a predicted model, not a curated record. Lineage: Eukaryota; Metazoa; Arthropoda; Insecta; Coleoptera; Curculionidae. The transcript has 2 exons.
ACUGUCAAUAGCAGUUGCAUAGUUGCAUCAGAGACAAAUACACUUGUCUCUGGUUUUAUUUUAUUGUUUGCAGAACACGUGUAGUAACUUGAUUUUGCUAGUGAUCUUGUGGUUUUUUAAUAUUUAUAGUUUGGAAAGAAGCGAAUCAACAAUUUUGAUCAACAGUAAGCGUAUUGUACUUUCCUCAGCGUUACAGAAUAGACCGAAAAUAGUCUCCUGUGAUUGGCUGUCCCUGCGACGUCAAGUAAGCAAUAAGAACGGCGGAACUACCAUAACCAAACCUCGAAUGUUAUUUACUUAUUUAUUUUUGCAAUAUUGGCAAAGACCAAUUACUCUCUGGUAUUGGUUCCUCUAUCUAUUUAAAAAAAAUGCAUUAUCAAUUAUUUAUAUUCGCUUAUUUGGUAUUUAGCUGAUUGUUAUGUUACCAACGAUUUUGUUAUUGAAGGGUGGAAGUACCAAUCAACUCACACAACAUUAUUAAAGUGUUUACCACGACCUUUAUCUACAUUUAAGAAAUAUUCAAGAUGAUUUUAUCAAAAAAAAUAUUUUCUUAAAUCCGCGGAUUCUGGAAGUGAUUCAGAGUUAAUAGUGUAACUUUGUAACAGAAGUAGAUGUUAAAGAGUGGCUUCAAGAGUGCUCUGAAUAUAGAAACACUAACUGGAUUAUAAAAAAUGGUAUGAUAUAUUAUAAUCCUCAAAGGUAAUAAUUUAAAGUUGAAUAUAAAUUAAUUAUACAUGCGUAAUAAUAAUAUUAUUAUCUUAGAUUAAUAUAUCACAAGUAUUUUGUGUGCCAGCAUUUCGAGACAAAUAAAAAAAACUAAAAAUAAUUCCAAUAGACUAAUAUACUGUUCUGUCAGUAUAGACAUUGAAAUUAAAAAAUGUAAUACUAGCACAAAUAAGAACGAUAAUUUUUUGAAAAAUGAAGUACCUUUACAAGGAGUUGUUAAAAUGAAAAUAAAUCAUAAUCAUAAUGUAAACACUUAUGGAUCACUUAAAUAAUUACAUUUAGUUGACAAAACUAACAGGCAAUUUGAAAGCUACUUUGACGAUGGCUUAGGAAUUAGUGAAAGUAUAAAGCGACUUCAAAAUACUUUACUUUUAAACAUUUCCAUUGGUUUGUCAGGAUGAGGUUCCAUAUGCUUCCGGAACUCGUCUUUAUCUAUGAUGUGAACUGCGUUAAUUUAGUAGUGUUGGUGGAAGUAGGCUGCGCGCGCACUUGCGAUAUGCUUAUUACUAAAUGCGUGGCUUUUUCUUUUGGAAGUGGUGCACUUUUUUGGAAAUGGUGCACUGCCAAAUUUGUUACGUUCCCACUGAUUCAUAGUUUUAAGGAUGUUUGCUAAUUGUUUUUAAUAAAACAUUUAAACUAUAGAAAUAGAGGUUUUGUAAAUGUUAUAUAAAACCUGAUAAAAAAAAUUGUUGGUACUAUUUUUGAUUUAAAUUCACAUAAAAAAGACGUUUGCAAUUGACAUCAUUAAGACGUCAACAAUUGACGCCAUUAACCGCCGUAUGCAUCGCCAAGCUACCUAAUCGCGAUGAACUAAACGCGUUUAAAAGUUAAUCCGGUUUAAGAACCCAGCAGGUAUGCACCGUUAAAAUUCAGCGGCGGAUUAGUUAAACCUUGUAAUGAUAUGGCCACUCUCACUUAAAAACCUAACCGAGAACGACUGAUUUCAUAGUCGCCAGAGGCGCUACAGACGAUAAAGAGCUACAGAAUGGGAUAACGCAAGUCAAAUGUCAAAUAAAUCUUCCCCAUUGUUGUUUAUGGGUUUGUCAUGGACAAGAUGUCUGUGGAUGUUGAUUAUUCGCUAUCAUCCAAAGAAAAAGCCUAUGCCGAUUUUAUUCAUUUCUGACGAUAUAAUCUGUGAUAAGUUGUAUUCGUGCCUCAUGCUUCCUGCACAUACUGGAUUGUGAUAUGUUUCCCCAUGUUCUCCAAUACGUAAUUUGUGAAUGUUUUGCUGGAUUAUCUUUUUCCUUAUCUGUUUUCAUAAAUCGUCAAUAAUCUGCGAAGAUGGUAGCUGUUUAUUGGUGUCUUGAAGGCUGUUAGAAAAUGCACGGCUUCCUAUCACAAAAGGCGUAUGUUUUAAAGUUGUUCCUAAAAAUGCUUCAAAGAUUUUUUUAUCUGUAAAAAGUAUUUAUAUAAACAAUAAACAACAAGUAAUAUAUAUAUUUAUAUGUAUUUUUGUGUAGUUGUGUCAUUUAUCCCUAUUAUCUGCUGCCCCUUGCGGCACAAUUAAAAAUAAGCAAGUGUAGUGGGAUCAUAAUGCAGGUUUGUUUGAGUUCUUUAAUUCUCAGCCACCAGGGCGCGCCACUUUAGCGACACACUUUCCACAAGAGUAAGAGUCGUUUCUAUAUAAACCUUGUCCUAUGGAUAUGGCAACCGUGUUCUAGUGUUCGCGUUAUCAACUUUUGCGCGGUGUUCCAAUGAAUGUGCCGCCGUUCGUGUUAAAUAUCCCUGUUAAAGGGAGAAAAUAUAACUGCGAUCCAUUGCGGCUAUUUGCCAAAAAUUAUAUGAGAAUACGAUUUUUCUUCUAGGAAAAGACCUAUUAACGGUGAAAACCGUUAUUAAUUGUUGAGAAAAUCAAGCAAUAAAGUACCACAAAAUUA